UAGCAUAAUAUGGAAACUAAAAGUUCCCAGGGACGGGAUGUGAAUGACGCAUAAAUCAAGAUAACCCAGCCAGCUUUAUAAUUGCAUUCAAACAAAAGUUAGGCGAGUCGCUAAAACUGAAAGAGUCGCAGCAAAUUUAAAACACCAAAAUGUGGAGAGCUGUCAAGUUUAAUUACUCACAGCUGGCUGAUAAACUCAAAAUGCAGAGGAAGUUACAGUAAGGUUGGGAUUUUAAAAAUUUGGUGCACACAACGGCUAACGGCGAAAUCCUAAAAGAAAUCUAUAUAUUGUUCUUAGACGGGGAAAUGUGCUGUGUAAGUGUGCAUUAAUUUGCAGCAGAUAUAGAACUUCAUACUGGUUCAUUGAUGACAAUGAAGAAGGAGGAAGACGAUGGGAAAAAAGUGAAUACACUUGUAUGUGAAAAACAAUUGCAAUCCGAACAAGACUAAAGAAGGACGUUUCAAAUGCUCUUGGAUUAUACUAUUUGUGUCUUUAAACAAUAUUUUACUGAAAAGAGGGAUUGAUAAAAAUUGAAAUUCAAAUAUUGCCAAGUUGUGUUGUGAACUUUAAGCUCCUUUAUAUUCUAUAGUUAUGGGAUUUUACAAGUUUUUGUGAACAAAGGGAUGGUUCUGGAAUUGAUGUUAGAUGAUGUUUGAAAGAAGAUUGUGUUUGAAAUUGAAAUUUCAACUCCCUCAUUAUAUUAAACGUUUUAGAUUUGACUGUGUGCCGAAUCCAGUCAAUCGUAGAAGCAAGUGAUGCAGAGGAAGUGUGGAGUAUAAAUCGACAUCUUGAAUACAUUUUAAGGCAGAGACGUGAAAGCAAGACGUAUUAUUAUAUUUAUUCUUAAACUCUGUAAGCUUUGGCAAAUGUUUUUGUUUAAUUAUUGUUAUAAUAUUGAAGCAAAUUUAACAGAAUUUGUUAGAAACUAACAAAUAAAUUGUACAGUUUA
Long non-coding RNA from Saccostrea cuccullata (small rock oyster), 949 nucleotides. RefSeq lists it as uncharacterized. The transcript is spliced from 2 exons. The record is from RefSeq and is a predicted model, not a curated record. Lineage: Eukaryota; Metazoa; Mollusca; Bivalvia; Ostreida; Ostreidae.